Molecule: ribosomal RNA, 480 nt
Filed under: uncultured bacterium
Lineage: Bacteria
Description: partial 16S ribosomal RNA
Rfam family: Bacterial small subunit ribosomal RNA
Source: RNAcentral
GAUGAACGCUAGCGGCAGGCCUAACACAUGCAAGUCGAGGGGGAAGUUACUUUCGGGUGACUGAGACCGGCGUACGGGUGCGUAACGCGUAUACAAUCUGCCUUUCACUGGGGGAUAGCCCGAAGAAAUUUGGAUUAAUACCCCAUAGUAUAUAGGGACGGCAUCGUUUUUAUAUUAAAGCUUAGGUGGUGAAAGAUGAGUAUGCGUUCUAUUAGCUAGUUGGAGAGGUAACGGCUCCCCAAGGCGAUGAUAGAUAGGGGUUCUGAGAGGGAUGUCCCCCACACUGGUUCUGAGAUACGGACCAGACUCGUACGGGAGGCAGCAGUGAGGAAUAUUGGACAAUGGUCGGAAGACUGAUCCAGCCAUGCCGCGUGCAGGAUGAAGGUCUUAUGGAUUGUAAACUGCUUUUGUAAGGGAAGAAUAAGGGCUACGCGUAGUUUGAUGACGGUACCUUACGAAUAAGCAUCGGCUAACUCCGUG